Long non-coding RNA from Polistes canadensis, 412 nucleotides. RefSeq lists it as uncharacterized. The transcript is spliced from 2 exons. The record is from RefSeq and is a predicted model, not a curated record. Lineage: Eukaryota; Metazoa; Arthropoda; Insecta; Hymenoptera; Vespidae.
UGUCAAAUAUUGUUGUUAGAUUUUGUUUCUUUGUUUAUAAUACGUACGAACGACUCAUCUUCAUUUUAUUCUCUUGCAAUCAAAUGAAUAAUAUAUUGGAUUGUGAAAUCUUGUAACUUUUCAUUCCUUUCGAAAUAAGUUCGGAUUUUUGAAGACAUUAUUAUUAUUACUACUACUAUUACCAACAGGAACAACACUAAACGUCAAAUAAGAAGACGCCGUCAAGAGUGAUUUACCGAAGCAACCGAAAUAGAACAAGUAUUAUACGACUAAUUUCGUUGGAGAGGGAGGGAGAGAGAGAAAGAGAAAGAGAAAGAGAGAGAGAGAGAGAGAGUACUUGUCAAAAGUACAGAUAGUUUGCUUGGACUGAAAGAAACAAACGAGAAUCGAAGAAGAAGAAGAAGAAGAAAAA